UACGUAUGGAGCAAGCGUUAUCCGGAUUUACUGGGUGUAAAGGGUGCGUAGGCGGCACAGCAAGUCAGAUGUGAAAGACCGGGGCUCAACCCCGGGGCUGCAUUUGAAACUGCCGAGCUUGAGUCCGGGAGAGGCAGGCGGAAUUCCUAGUGUAGCGGUGAAAUGCGUAGAUAUUAGGAGGAACACCAGUGGCGAAGGCGGAUUGCUGGACUGUAACUGACACUGAGGCACGAAAGCGUGGGGAGCAAACAGG
RNAcentral lists this ribosomal RNA (253 nucleotides) under uncultured bacterium. Its description in RNAcentral is "partial 16S ribosomal RNA". It matches the Rfam family "Bacterial small subunit ribosomal RNA", at positions 524 to 776 of the family's 1533-position model. The record is from RNAcentral.